AGAAAAGUUGUCUAGAGAAACUAAAAUGCAGAGAGAGCUUAGGAAAAGGAGAUUUCAAUGUUAAAUUUCAAACCGAGGUACGCCGAUCGUUUUUCGGCCGAUUUUGAUGAUUCUUGAAGCUAUCUCUUUGAUUUUUCCUCUAAUAUCAAGGUGAAUAAAGCAUGUCGGAUUAGGAAUCCGGUGGCUUUUUUUUUUGCUCCGGUGAGCAUAAGAAUUCCGCUCACCACGAGCAGAAUUCCGCUCGACUUUGCCGGUGGAAUUCUGCUCACCACGAGCAAAAUUCUGCUCGACUUUGCCGGUAGAAUUCUGUCGUCGGCAGAACUCUGUUCUACUCUUAACGAGCAGAAUGUGUAGGCAGUCCCCAACCAUGUUCGGGAGCGAGUUUUCUAUGAUAAUUCGACUCCUAAACGCGAUGAUUUCAGUCCGGAUGUAUAUAUUGUAACCUGACGAUGUUGCGAGACCCGGCGAGACAGCUACUGACGGGACCGGAACUCGAGGAGCGUGAAGCCGAUUUGCUUGGUUUGGAAAUUAUGGAUAGCAAGUCGUGAGUUUAUAUUUUUACUGUCACUUAUAAAUACUUGCAUUAUUUUAUAAAAUGCUUUAUUUGAACUUCAUUUUGCAUCUUAAAUGUUUCGAAACCUAAUAUAGAUCCGGUGAAACAACCUAUCUAUUGGGCAACAAUAGAACUGUGUGUACACCAGUUAUAAUAAAUUUAAUAUACGUCUAAUAAUAAAUAAGAUAUGAAGCCAUAUAAGAAUCUCCUAUAAUUCGUCUUACAAGGUUAACUCGCUGGAACUAUCUCGGGACUGCAUCAAUUAAGAUAUGAGGUUAGCUCGGUAGAACUAUCUCGAGUACUGUAUCUCU
Molecule: long non-coding RNA, 864 nt
Organism: Mercurialis annua (annual mercury)
Lineage: Eukaryota; Viridiplantae; Streptophyta; Magnoliopsida; Malpighiales; Euphorbiaceae
Exons: 3
Source: RefSeq, a predicted model, not a curated record